GGGUGAGUGGCGAAAUGGUAUACGCACUAGCCUUAGGAGCUAGCGGGGCAACCCAUGGAGGUUCGAAUCCUCUCUCACCCA
RNAcentral lists this transfer RNA (81 nucleotides) under Candidatus Moraniibacteriota bacterium. RNAcentral describes it as "tRNA-Leu". It matches the Rfam family "tRNA". Rfam says of the family: Transfer RNA (tRNA) molecules are approximately 80 nucleotides in length. Their secondary structure includes four short double-helical elements and three loops (D, anti-codon, and T loops). Further hydrogen bonds mediate the characteristic L-shaped molecular structure. tRNAs have two regions of fundamental functional importance: the anti-codon, which is responsible for specific mRNA codon recognition, and the 3' end, to which the tRNAs corresponding amino acid is attached (by aminoacyl-tRNA synthetases). tRNAs cope with the degeneracy of the genetic code in two manners: having more than one tRNA (with a specific anti-codon) for a particular amino acid; and 'wobble' base-pairing, i.e. permitting non-standard base-pairing at the 3rd anti-codon position. Lineage: Bacteria; Candidatus Moraniibacteriota. The record is from RNAcentral.